CCCAGCCCCUCCACCCCAUGGACCUGGAGCCCUUGCAGGAGGGGGAAGUCAAGCAGUGGCCCAAAGACACAGUCAUCCUCCUGGUUUGGGACGAGGGGCUCUGGGGUGCCCAGGGGGCUGGUCUGGAACCAGAGGUUCUCAUAAAACUUGGGACUGGGAGUAAGGCCCCCUAAGAGGGGCUGAGUAGAGUCACAACGGAGGUAGUGCCCUGGACCUGGGCUGGUGGGGCUGCCCAACACCUUCCCGUAGAGGACCUGGUCACUGGUGCCGGACUGGGGCUGGGUCUGGGUGGAACAUGCUCUUGGGUCCCCCUGGAGCACGUAGGCCUGGACCAGGGUGGGGAGGCCACAGGUCCCUGAGCUGUCAUUUGACUCCCAGGGCCCUGGCUUCUUCUCCUCUUCCUCCAGCACUGUGAUCUUGGUGAUGGGUGGCAUGCCAGUGUCCCGAAGGCUGGGCAGCUGGAAGGUCUCCUGGACACAAGGACGGGGGGUGAGGACGUGAUUCAUCUGAGACAUUCGUCCCAACCAGUGUCCCUUCCUGAGUUGGGGACAGUUGAGAUAUUCCUGCUGCGCUCUGCUGGAACCCCUGAGGAUGAUGCUUGUGAAGCACCUCAUGCUUUUCUGACACCUGCUCUGCACUUCAGACUUAGCUUAAGCAGCGGAAGGCCCCUUGGGCAGAGAGGAGAUGGUGCAGUGCCUGAUCCAGACGUGGGCCCUGAGGCCUGUGAGGGCGAGGAGGGACUUGGAUUGGCCCACCCCAGCCUGCAGUUCCCUGUGGGCAGGGGCAGGAGAGAGCAGCAGGAGCAUCAAGGAACGGCCUUCUUCCCCCUUCCCUUCUAUCCUAGCCGGGCUAGCAUGCAGAUGGCUUAUUUUGGAAAGAUCCCAGGAACAGACUGAAGGGGUUGGGCGGAAUGGACAGGUGAGGGAGGAGGGAAAGCCAACAAGUGUGCGUCACGGAGUUGGUCAUCUCUAUGGACAGCUUGGGCUCCCUCCUUCUGGAACCUUCCAAGGAGCUGUGAGAAACAUGCCUCAGGACACUUGAUCCCUUGAACAGGAGGGAGGAUGGCAACGUUUAUCUACCGACUUCCGUUCCCCAUGGGUCAAGGGAUGUUCUUUGGGGGUACUAGCUUCCUGACACAUCCAGGUUACACACGCAUGCCUGUGAGGCAAGUUCUCUGGGGUGAGCAGGGCCUGAAGGGUCAGAGACGCUCCCUGGCAGAAAGGGAUAGCUCCAUGGGGUAGCUGGGCCAAGGGGCUCGGGCAGCUGGCCUCCAUGGUGAUGGCGGGAACGGGAGGGCGCAAGGGGUCCGACACCCCAUCCCCGCCCCCUGUUCAGGGCUCGGGCCUCCAGAGGUUUUUCUGGGGUCAGGUGUCCUGUAGUCACGGUGACAGCAUCUGGAUGUGGAGAGCGGUAGUUCCUGCCUCAACACCCAUGCAAAAUUGUCCCACUGGGGUGGGCUCUGGCCUAACCCUGCCUCCUGCUCCCACCGGGAUCUUGGGGACCAGGCACCAGGGUCUCUGGCACUGAUUGGCAGUCUUGGCAGCUGAUAAGUGUACACAGGAGCAUGACGUGUACUGGUGCCCUGUCCUUGGAUGGGGAAGGCUGCUCUCCCUUUUCUCCCCGGGCUAUGCACAGGUGUGAACAAGAACUGCCUGACAUACAACCACUGUUCCCUCUCACGGGGGCCGGACCCCAAGCCCUGGGCGAUGAUCCAUCUACAUUUCCGGAUCAAGAUGCCAGGGGACUGCUCGCCUGUGAGUCACAUUUUGGCAAAUCAGGAAAAAAGUGCCCCUUCCUCUGGGCAGUUGCAGCCCCACACCAAGACCUGGCAGCUGAAGAAUAGGUUGGUUUCAGCCUCCACUUGCUCCUCAGCUGGGCAGCUUUGUGCAGUGAGAAACCCACACAACUGUUCAGGGCAUCCCCGUCUACCAAUCAGUGGUUGGCAACUGUCUUACUGCUGCGUACCAGUUUGAUCGUCCCCCAUGCACACUGGGUGGGGAAGAUGUGGCCUCCUAGGCUCAGGCUUUGAGGCACUGGUUUCUAUUCCCAUGUGCUUUGGAUCAUACCCCAGCCCUGCUGCCCCAGCGAGGGUCAGCAUGGGGCCCAGCCUGUGCCCUGCAAGGUACUGCUUCAUCCCUCUCCUCCGGCUCCUGUCCGGAAUAGGCAACCAGACCCCCCCCACUCGAGAGGCCCCUGCGUUCUCCCCCUGGGAUGCUGAGCGAUGGCAUGUUUGGCACCAGUUCCUGGUCGCCCACAGCAGCCCGGGGCGCCCCCCACCCCAGCUGGGUGUGCUCGGGGGGACGUGUGGGAGCAGGGCCUCGCUGCGGGCUGGCUCUAAGCCAGACCACCUGCUCUGAAGCCCGGCUCCACAACUCACCAGCUUCGUGACCUUGGAUGAGUUACUUCAUCGUUCUGAACCUCGGUUUCCCCAUCUGUGAAAGGGAGAGGACGUGAGCACCCAGUUCCCGGGGUCGUAGUGAGGAGGCACCCAGGUGGGCUGGGACGGAGGUGCUCAGCACGGAGCCUGCACGGCAGGAGCUCUCAGUGACCAUGAGUGCUUUCCACGCAUGACGAUGUGGGUCGCCGUGUCAUGGGAUCCAGCAUGUGGCCUCGUCCCCUGCUCCUGGCCUCCUGGGACAGCCACCUUGCUUCUGUCUGUGUCACGCUUCAUGGCUUCAAAGUCCUGUUCUGGGGUCCCCUGCUUGCAGCUCCUUGCCCCCCACCCCGGGUCCCCUUGGCUCUGGCCAUCUCCUCGGUUCUCCCGCUCGGUCCAGUGGAACCUGCUGCCUCCCGGAGGCCAUCGCAGGCCUCUUCCUCUCUCCUCUCCUCUCCCUGCACUCUCCCCUGCUCUCCCUGCCCCAGCUCGCACCCUCUCUGCCCUGUCGGGUCUCCUCUCCCAUGGCGGGGGGACGCCCACCCCACCGAUGUUGGGCCGUGAAAGGGGGCGCACAGCCGCACAAUGAGGGAGAAAGUGAAAUAGGUGUGCGGGCGGAGAAGGCUGGGCAGGACAGGUGCACAGGGAAGAGCCCAGGGGGAGACACAGGUGCUCGAGGCCAAGAAGCCAGAGGUCCCCAGGAGAGUUUAGGAUUCAAGAGAAGGAAACGUGAGAGACGUGGAAAGGCACAGAAAGAUUCAGAUGCAGGAGAGGGAGACCCAGAGUCUGGACUGGCCAGGGAGAAACGGGUGUGGGGGUGGGGGACGCAGAGAGGGUUGGUGAUUAUGCCCGUCCCAGAGCCCAGCUCCAUGUCCCCAAGGAGAUGGCUGGCUGUUUGUGACCUCCUCGGUGAGUACCCCCCAAAGUGGGGGCAGCCCUGCAAAGGAGCCUCCGUGUCCCGGGCUCCUGGUUCCCAGGGACCAAGGCUAAAGGCAGGAGCCCUGGUCCCGGGCCUGCACACGGGCACUCGGCAGAGCUGGGGCAGUGGACGUGGGGUCGAGGCCCUGGUGCAGCACCCCCCCCCGCCACGGAUCCUCUACUCACGCUGGAGGCUGGAGCCCGUGGGGCCCCUGCCCGGCCUCCCCGGCCUCUUCUCUCCUCUCUGGGCCAGUUCCUGAAAACAGCCACCGUCGGGCUUCUCUCCCCAGCCCUGUCGUUGAUGGCUCUGGCUCGGCCUGUGACAGGCCCAGGGGCUGCGGAUUGCAACACCUGCCCAGCCUCCUUCCCUCCCUCGGGCUGUCACUCAGGCGCCAGGCACAGGGCAGCCCCUUCCUCCCAGGAAGGAGCCUCAGAGGGAAGCCGGUGAGGGGUGAGGCCGGGCAGCCUUCCUGCCUCGGGGGUCUCAUCGGGGCUGGGGGAUGUGGCAACGGUGUCCCUCUCGCCCGCCUCCGGAUUUCCUGACCUCAGAGCUUUUGAGUCUGGCCAGGGCCCAGGCCUCAGGGCACUGGGGUGCCAUUCCGUGCCCCUACCCCUGGGACAGCAUGGGUGGGACACAGACCCUGGCUCGAGUAGCCUCGGGGCCCUGACCUCACGGGUCUCAGGGGGCAGCCUCCAGGUCAGGGAAAGGUUUGUAACACGUACCUACUCGCCGGGCCCCUCAUCACCGCAUGUCUUCCACCAUUGACAGGCGAUGGAGAAAUGGGGACUCUGGGAACAAGCCCCGGGGAUGACCUGGGAGGCUCGGGGUCUUCGAAAGCAGCCUUGAAGUUACUUAACUCACAGCGCUUCUGCUACCCUGACCAUGUUCUGACUGAGUGCACUAGGCUACAUUGUGUCUCUCCUUGUCUGUAUCCAUGAGUCCCCUGGAACGGUUUAUAAAUAAU
This is a long non-coding RNA of Canis lupus familiaris (dog), 4257 nucleotides long. RefSeq lists it as uncharacterized. The record is from RefSeq and is a predicted model, not a curated record. The transcript has 3 exons. Lineage: Eukaryota; Metazoa; Chordata; Mammalia; Carnivora; Canidae.